RNAcentral lists this ribosomal RNA (550 nucleotides) under uncultured bacterium. RNAcentral's name for it is "bacterial SSU rRNA". It matches the Rfam family "Bacterial small subunit ribosomal RNA", at positions 355 to 896 of the family's 1533-position model. The record is from RNAcentral.
UGGGGAAUUUUGGACAAUGGGCGCAAGCCUGAUCCAGCCAUGCCGCGUGCGGGAAGAAGGCCUUCGGGUUGUAAACCGCUUUUGUCAGGGAAGAAAAGGUUCUGGCUAAUACCUGGGACUCAUGACGGUACCUGAAGAAUAAGCACCGGCUAACUACGUGCCAGCAGCCGCGGUAAUACGUAGGGUGCAAGCGUUAAUCGGAAUUACUGGGCGUAAAGCGUGCGCAGCGGUUAUGCAAGACAGAGGUGAAUCCCGGGCUCAACCUGGGAACUGCCUUUUGUGACUGCAUGGCUAGAAGUACGGUAGAGGGGGAUGGAAUUCCGCGUGUAGCAGUGAAAUGCGUAGAUAUGCGGAGGAACACCGAUGGCGAAGGCAAUUCCCCUGGACCUGUACUGACGCUCAUGCACGAAAAGCGUGGGGAGCAAACAGGAUUAGAUACCCUGGUAGUCCACGCCCUAAACGAUGUCAACUGGUUGUUGGGAGGGUUUCUUCUCAGUAACGUAUGCUAACGCGUGAAGUUGACCGCCUGGGGAGUACGGCCGCAAGGUUG